RNAcentral lists this ribosomal RNA (235 nucleotides) under uncultured bacterium. Its description in RNAcentral is "partial 16S ribosomal RNA". It matches the Rfam family "Bacterial small subunit ribosomal RNA", at positions 99 to 334 of the family's 1533-position model. The record is from RNAcentral.
CGGACGGGUGAGUAACGCGUGGGUAACCUGCCUCAUACAGGGGGAUAACAGUUAGAAAUGACUGCUAAUACCGCAUAAGACCACAGCACCGCAUGGUGCAGGGGUAAAAACUCCGGUGGUAUGAGAUGGACCCGCGUCUGAUUAGGUAGUUGGUGAGGUAAUGGCCCACCAAGGCGACGAUCGGUAGCCGGACUGAGAGGUUGAACGGCCACAUUGGGACUGAGACACGGCCCAG